AGGACGAACGCUGGCGGCGUGCUUAACACAUGCAAGUCGAGCGGAAAGGCCCUUCGGGGUACUCGAGCGGCGAACGGGUGAGUAACACGUGAGCAACCUGCCCUUGGCUCUGGGAUAGCCUCCGGAAACGGGGAUUAAUACCGGACAUUCACUUUCUCCUGCAUGGGGGUUGGUGGAAAGUUUUUCGGCCAGGGAGGGGCUCGCGGCCUAUCAGCUUGUUGGCGGGGUAACGGCCCACCAAGGCGACGACGGGUAGCCGGCCUGAGAGGGCGAUCGGCCACACUGGGACUGAGACACGGCCCAGACUCCUACGGGAGGCAGCAGUGGGGAAUAUUGCACAAUGGGCGCAAGCCUGAUGCAGCGACGCCGCGUGGGGGAUGAAGGCCUUCGGGUUGUAAACCCUUUCACCAGGAGCGAAUUCAGACGGUACCUGGGAAGAAGCGCCGGCUAACUACGUGCCAGCAGCCGC
Molecule: ribosomal RNA, 469 nt
Filed under: uncultured bacterium
Lineage: Bacteria
Description: SSU rRNA
Rfam family: Bacterial small subunit ribosomal RNA
Source: RNAcentral